This 432-nucleotide ribosomal RNA is filed under the name uncultured bacterium. RNAcentral's name for it is "partial 16S ribosomal RNA". It matches the Rfam family "Bacterial small subunit ribosomal RNA", at positions 29 to 506 of the family's 1533-position model. The record is from RNAcentral.
AACGAACGCUGGCGGCAUGCCUAACACAUGCAAGUCGAACGAGACCUUCGGGUCUAGUGGCGCACGGGUGCGUAACGCGUGGGAACCUGCCCUUAGGUUCGGAAUAACUCCCCGAAAGGGGUGCUAAUACCGGAUAAUGUCCUCGGACCAAAGAUUUAUCGCCUUGGGAUGGGCCCGCGUUGGAUUAGCUAGUUGGUAGGGUAAAAGCCUACCAAGGCGGCGAUCCAUAGCUGGUCUGAGAGGAUGGUCAGCCACACUGGGACGGAGACACGGCCCAGACUCCUACGGGAGGCAGCAGUGGGGAAUAUUGGACAAUGGGCGAAAGCCUGAUCCAGCAAUGCCGCGUGAGUGAUGAAGGCCUUAGGGUUGUAAAGCUCUUUUACCCGGGAUGAUAAUGACAGUACCGGGAGAAUAAGCUCCGGCUAACUCCGU